UAUCGGAACGUGCCCUGGAGUGGGGGAGUAACUAGUCGAAAGACUAGCUAAUACCGCAUACGAUCUACGGAUGAAAUGGGGGAUCGCAAGACCUCAUGCUCGUGGAGCGGCCGAUAUCUGAUUAGCUAGUUGGUGGGGUAAAGGCCUACCAAGGCAUCGAUCAGUAGCUGGUCUGAGAGGACGACCAGCCACACUGGGACUGAGACACGGCCCAG
RNAcentral lists this ribosomal RNA (215 nucleotides) under uncultured bacterium. RNAcentral describes it as "partial 16S ribosomal RNA". It matches the Rfam family "Bacterial small subunit ribosomal RNA", at positions 116 to 334 of the family's 1533-position model. The record is from RNAcentral.